UUAGAACCACCGCCGCUUAUCGCGGCGCC
Molecule: small RNA, 29 nt
Filed under: Bombyx mori (domestic silkworm)
Lineage: Eukaryota; Metazoa; Arthropoda; Insecta; Lepidoptera; Bombycidae
Description: ovarian small RNA-9395
Source: RNAcentral